CCUCCCGUCGGUCGGCUGCUACCCGGCGUCGAUCCACAGAGCUCCUUCGCAAGACGCCGUCGCCGCCUUCAUUUCCCUCCGCCGCUGCCUCCGACGCUCUCACCCUUUCUUGGCCGUCCUCCUCUGUCGGAUCUCACGCAGAGAAGGAAGGCUCGGUCGCCGGAAACCCCCAAGGCAGCCCGGGAGGCAAAUAAGCCGGCCUCCUAUCACUGUGAAAGCAUCAUCCACCGCCACCGUUUCGCCGCGCCGCCGAUUUACCUUUGAUCGCCGCCGAUUCGCCUUCGGUCGCCGCCGUGCUUCCCGGAGGUCUCGAAAGCAUUUUGCUGCCACCGACCGUGGCCGGAUCCAAGUGAAGGACGUCGCCGCCCCGAUCACUGCUGCACCAGCACCCUCUUCCGCCGGCGCAACACCUCCCCGCAACCACCGCCGCAAAAUCAGGCGAGAUCCGGCGGAAGCGAGCGGACGGUUGAAGGUUGAAGAUGAUCUACAGUACGGGUAAGGUCUGCACCCGUUAGCCCGUUAACCCAUUAUCCAUUAACCCGAGUCAUUUCAAAAAAAAAAAAAUUGCGGGUCGGACUGUCCUAGUGGGUUGGGUCUGUUAACCCGAUAACCCGACAACCCGACUUGAGUUAAAAAAAAAAAAAAAA
RNAcentral lists this long non-coding RNA (647 nucleotides) under Phoenix dactylifera (date palm). RNAcentral's name for it is "long non-coding RNA (PDAC_LNC019479)". The record is from RNAcentral. Lineage: Eukaryota; Viridiplantae; Streptophyta; Magnoliopsida; Arecales; Arecaceae.